This 609-nucleotide long non-coding RNA is filed under the name Homo sapiens (human). RNAcentral's name for it is "long non-coding RNA NONHSAT008319.2". The record is from RNAcentral. Lineage: Eukaryota; Metazoa; Chordata; Mammalia; Primates; Hominidae.
CUCAAACUCCUGGGCUCAACUGAUCUUCUUGCCUCAGCCUUCCAAGUAGCUAGGACCACAGAUUUUAAAAUGGAAAUUAUCAAGGAAACAAAGACAGUUUCACGCUCAAAUAGGAAAAUGUCCUUGCUCAAAAGAACUCUUGUAAGGAAGCCAUCAAUGAGACCCAGAAACUUGACAGAAGUCCUCUUAAAUACACAGCACUUGGAGUUCUUCAGGGAGUUCCUCAAGGAACGGAAGGCUAAAAUCCCAUUGCAAUUUCUCACAGCUGUACAGAAGAUCAGUAUAGAGACCAAUGAAAAGAUUUGCAAGUCUCUCAUAGAAAAUGUAAUCAAGACUUUCUUCCAAGGCCAACUCUCUCCUGAAGAAAUGCUGCAGUGUGAUGCCCCUAUUAUCAAAGAAAUCGCUUCCAUGCGUCAUGUCACCACAAGCACACUGUUAACGCUCCAGGGACAUGUUAUGAAAUCUAUAGAAGAAAAGUGAAGAAAGGCUGGAUGAGAAUGAUCAGCUUUAUCAGGAGUUUUUGCAAGUACCGCAGAUUUAUGUUGAAUCCUAGUAAGCGCCAGGAAUUUGAAGACUAUCUUCACCAGGAAAUGCAAAAUAGCAAGGAAA